Molecule: ribosomal RNA, 700 nt
Filed under: uncultured Planctomycetota bacterium
Lineage: Bacteria; Pseudomonadati; Planctomycetota
Description: bacterial SSU rRNA
Rfam family: Bacterial small subunit ribosomal RNA
Source: RNAcentral
AUUGGCGGAUGCAUUAGGCAUGCAGUCGAGGGAGAACCCGCAAGGGGGACACCGGCGAUCGGGGUAGGAAUACAUAGGUAACGUACCCUCAGGACGGGGAUAGCCAAGGGAAACUUUGGGUAAUACCCGAUGUGAUGUCAGGAUGUGAAUGCCUGCCAUCAAAGGUGAGAUUCCACCUGAGGAGCGGCUUAUGCAUCAUUAGCUUGUUGGCGGGGUAACGGCCCACCAAGGCUGCGAUGAUUAGGGGGUGUGAGAGCAUGGCCCCCACCACUGGCACUGAGACACUGGCCAGACACCUACGGGUGGCUGCAGUCGAGAAUCUUCGGCAAUGGGCGAAAGCCUGACCGAGCGAUGCCGCGUGCGGGAUGAAGGUCUUCGGAUUGUAAACCGCUGUCGGAGGGGAUGAGGUGUAUGGGAGCAAUCUCCUGUAUUUGACAGAGCCUCGGAGGAAGCACGGGCUAAGUUCGUGCCAGCAGCCGCGGUAAUACGAACUGUGCAAACGUUAUUCGGAAUCACUGGGCUUACAGGGUGCGUAGGCGGCAUUUUAAGUCAGGUGUGAAAUCCCCCGGCUCAACCGGGGAACUGCGCCUGAGACUGGAUUGCUCGAGUGAGGCAGGGGUGUACGGAACUUCCGGUGGAGCGGUGAAAUGUGUAGAUAUCGGAAGGAACGCCAGCAGCGAAAGCGGUACACUGGGCCUUG